Molecule: transfer RNA, 91 nt
Filed under: Candidatus Saccharimonadota bacterium
Lineage: Bacteria; Candidatus Saccharimonadota
Description: tRNA-Leu
Rfam family: tRNA
About the family: Transfer RNA (tRNA) molecules are approximately 80 nucleotides in length.
Source: RNAcentral
GCGGAUGUGGUGGAAUUGGUAGACACGCUGGCUUGAGGGGCCAGUGCCCACUUUUUUGGGCGUGGAGGUUCAAGUCCUCUCAUCCGCACCA